GGAAUAUUGGACAAUGGGCGCAAGCCUGAUCCAGCCAUGCCGCGUGCAGGAUGACGGUCCUAUGGAUUGUAAACUGCUUUUAUACAGGAAGAAACCCUGGUUCGUGAACCAGCUUGACGGUACUGUAAGAAUAAGGAUCGGCUAACUCCGUGCCAGCAGCCGCGGUAAUACGGAGGAUCCAAGCGUUAUCCGGAAUCAUUGGGUUUAAAGGGUCCGUAGGCGGUUUAGUAAGUCAGUGGUGAAAGCCCAUCGCUCAACGGUGGAACGGCCAUUGAUACUGCUAAACUUGAAUUAUUAGGAAGUAACUAGAAUAUGUAGUGUAGCGGUGAAAUGCUUAGAGAUUACAUGGAAUACCAAUUGCGAAGGCAGGUUACUACUAAUGGAUUGACGCUGAUGGACGAAAGCGUGGGUAGCGAACAGGAUUAGAUACCCUGG
This 435-nucleotide ribosomal RNA is filed under the name uncultured Flavobacterium sp. Its description in RNAcentral is "bacterial SSU rRNA". It matches the Rfam family "Bacterial small subunit ribosomal RNA", at positions 358 to 790 of the family's 1533-position model. The record is from RNAcentral. Lineage: Bacteria; Pseudomonadati; Bacteroidota; Flavobacteriia; Flavobacteriales; Flavobacteriaceae.